AAGCCUGGAAAUCCUUUGCUUCCAGCUCUGCAUCUGAAGGCAAAAAAACAAUCCUCCGGAGAUUCGGCCCUCCCACUGCCUGUGAUAGGCUGCUUGGAAUAGCAAGAGCCUGUGUCACCGAAAAGGGCAAAGCUUUCGGAAAUAGAAACAAAGUUGGUCACAAAUCACAUUGGCUUUGCCCGAAGUUUUUUUUCACCUUUCUUUAGCAUGCGACCAUGGGGAAAGUGACCGCUCGUGUCAGUGGGGGAAGUCAGGGUGGUUUAGUGCCCAGGGAACGGCUGUAACUUCUACGUGACCAUGGUACCUGUUGAAAACGCAGAGGCCCCCAGUCUGCUGAAACCGAAGGGGCCAGCAGCCGAGACUGAUGGCAGCGACAGAGACAGCGGCGGCCGGCAUCCUCCCUGGGCAAGAGGUUGCGGGAUGUUUACUCUCCUGUCAUCUGUCACGGCUGCUGUCAGCGGCUUCCUGGUGGGGUAUGAACUUGGGCUCAUCUCUGGGGCUCUUCUGCAGAUAAGAACCUUGUUAGCCCUGACCUGCCACGAGCAGGAAAUGGUUGUGAGCUCCCUCCUCAUCGGGGCCCUACUGGCCUCUCUCAUCGGAGGGGUCCUGAUUGACAGGUGCGGAAGAAGGGCCGCCAUCAUCCUUUCAUCCUGCCUCCUUGGACUUGGGAGCCUGGUCUUGAUCAUCAGUUUAUCUUAUGCGGCUCUCAUAGCGGGACGCAUUGCUAUUGGGGUUUCCAUUUCACUCUCUUCCAUCGCCACGUGUGUCUACAUCGCAGAAAUUGCUCCCCAACACAAGAGAGGCCUUCUUGUGUCGCUGAACGAGCUGAUGAUCGUCAUUGGCAUCCUUUUUGCCUACAUUUCAAACUACGCGUUUGCCAAUGUUUCCCACGGCUGGAAAUACAUGUUCGGCCUUGUUAUUCCCUUGGGAGUUUUGCAGGCGAUUGCGAUGUACUUUCUUCCUCCAAGUCCUCGGUUUCUGGUGAUGAAGGGACACGAGGAAGCUGCUAGCAAGGUUCUCGGAAAGCUGAGAGCCAUCUCCGAUACAACGGAGGAACUCACUGUGAUCAAAUCUUCCCUAAAAGAUGAAUAUCAGUACAGUUUUGGGGAUCUGUUUCGUUCAAAGGACAACAUGAGGACCCGAAUCAUGAUAGGCUUAACAUUGGUAUUUUUUGUACAAAUCACUGGUCAGCCAAACAUAUUAUUCUAUGCAUCCACUGUUUUGAAGUCCGUUGGCUUCCAAAGCAACGAGGCAGCCAGCCUCGCCUCCACAGGGGUUGGGGUUGUCAAGGUCCUCAGCACCAUCCCGGCCACCCUGCUUGUAGACCAUGUCGGGAGCAAAACCCUCCUCUGCGUCGGCUCCUCUGUGAUGGCAGCUUCGUUGGUAACCAUGGGCAUCGUGAAUCUCAACAUCCAUAUGAACUUUACCAAUAUCUGCAGAAACCAUAGUCCUAUCAACCAGUCUUUGGAUGAGUCUGUGCUCUAUGGACCAGGGAACCUGUCAGCCAGCAAUGACACUCUUAGAGAAUCCUUUAAAGGGAUGGCUUCCCGCAGCAGAAGCUCACUAAGGCCCACGAGGAAUGACCUGGAUAGGAGAGGAGAAACAACCUCGGCAUCCUUAGCGAAUGCUGGACUAAGCCAAACUGAGUACCAGGUCAUCACAGACCCUGCGGACGUCCCAGCUUUUUUGAAAUGGCUGUCCUUGGCCAGCUUGCUUGUUUAUGUUGCUGCAUUUUCAAUUGGUCUAGGACCAAGUUCCAUAUUGGGGGUGUUGAAACCAUCCUUGUCAAAACCUUUGUCAAUUGUUGCAACAUCCAGUUUGUCAAUAUUACAAAAACCAAGGCAUCGAUUCUUGAAUUUUCUCCACUAGAUCAAAAAAGAAGUAGUCGCAUUCAGCAAUGAUAUAUUACUUUUGGAAAUGUCAGGUGUAAGUUUUGCCUGACAACAAGGGCCCAUCAGAGACUGACGGAAGUCUGUUUUUCAGUAUUCAGUUCAUUGCUCACUGACUGGUUAAACUGCCCAAGAACUUGGCUCAGCUGCUGCACUGAAUGCAUGUCUAGGACAGGCUUCAGUGUGGUUGCUGGGUGCUUUUAGGUGAGCCCUUGACAGUUCAGACUGAGCACUUAUAACUAGUGCUUUGUGCAACUGUCCCAUCUUCUUGUUGGUAAGAUCCACCACUCUCUGUAACAGCAGGAUCAACUCAUUCUCAUCUGAGGACAGCGUGGAAAGGAUUUUCCCCAAACCCCACCAAAUAAUUCCAAGAAGCCAUCAUGAUGCAAGGUGGGGAGGGGAAGUGGGGUAUAUCAGAGGUGAUGAAGUGGGGAUGGAAGUAGAUCAAGAAGACCAGUGCUAACUCUUGUCAAAGAAAAUCAGCAUGUCCAUUCCCCCACCUUUUCCUCACGGCUGCUAGAGCAAAAGACCAUAAGGAACGCUCUGCUCCACCCCUACCCUCACCAAAUACCCAAGGCAGGAAGGGGCCUGGGGAUUGGCUUGCAGCAUAGAUUAUUUAUCUUCAACAGAGUGGACUUACAUACUUUCAUCUUGUAUUUGCCCAAGGACAGGUCAUUACAAAGGCUUCACCAGAAUUAUGCAGCUGUCAUUCUACUCAGAUCCAGAUCCCCUGUCUUGCAAACCUCAAGGCAAGGUUACCUGAGCUUUGCACCCGUCUCCAAGGAUAUAAUCUGCAAGAAUCUAGUGAAGGUCUUCUGGGGGAAAGAGUGGAGGGGAGGGAUCUGGAAUGUUAUUUUUGAAUUCCCUAUUAAUUAGAACAAUAAUAAUCAUGUUCCUUUGGUUACGGUUCUCGCCCCCGCCCUACGUAGAUUCACUUGGAGAAGAUAAUCAAGAAAAAAAAUGUGUUUCCAGCCCUCUUGUAUAAUUUAAAUAUUUUUCUUACUUUAAAACAGCACAUUUACUCCAAGCAGGUGUUUUCUCUACAGAGCAUGACCUUGUCGUGAGAGGUGACUUUUCAAUCAGAGACACAGGUGACUGCUCCAGGAUUCUGGCUGGCCCUGGCAGCCCAGGUGGUUGCUGGCGGGGGGCCGCUCCCUGGCCUCUCGCUUCUUCCCUCACACCGCCUCCUCUCGGGCAAGAAGAUGCAUCUGGUCUGUAUCUGAACACCGGCUUUGCAACACAAUGUGACUUAGCCAGCAGGGAGCAGGGCUGGGACAGCUCCUAAGCCCUUCUUUCCUCAGAAUCAGAGGUGCUGAUACUCCACAUUUAUGUAUUCAUUAACGAAUAUUUAUUGAGCCACCCCCAAGAGAGCACCAAGAUGAAAAAGCAUGAGUUCCAGAGGCUGCCCAGGCUCAGCGCUGCCUCUGCUGCCACCUCUGAGCUCUGGGACCUUGGCAAAUUAUGAACUCCUUUAAGCCUCCAUUUCCUCUUCUAUAAAAGAGGGAGAGCGAUAUAGUUCCUAUCUGGUAGGAAUUCAGCGAGGAUCAAAUGAGAUAAGGUUUGUAAAGGUCUCAGCCCAUUGGAAGAACUGGUAGCUAUUCGGCAAACUGGAUUUGAUAGGCUGUGAGCAGAAGACAAGUUAAUUUGCUCCUCUGCUGCCCUUUCUAAUCCCGUCAGGCAGGUCCUAUAAUGUUUUGUGUCACUCUCAGAUCAUAAAAAGUCCUCUGAUCAGUUUUCGUGCCAAGAGUCGUCUCCUUUCAGAAAGUCAAAUGUUUGGCCUGGCGUAACACCGAAUCCUGGAGCUCUGUCUAAUUGAGAGCUUCUCUCCACCCAGCUUGCCACAGGCCAGGAAGCCCAAGUGGGGGAGGGGAGAGGAGCCAGCCUCCUUCCUCCGCCCUCCUGGCUCUACUUCCUACCCACUCAGUAGCUAUGAUGUUGGACUUGGCAAAGGUCGGGGGCAGAGGAGGUUACAGUGCCCUGGCUGGUGCUGAGUGAGAUUUUUCCUGGUGGAAUUCGAGGACGAGCCAUGGCUCUAACUUCUAGCAUGAACUGGGGCAUCAAUCUCCUCAUCUCUCUGACCUUUUUGACUGUGACAGAUCUCAUUGGCC
RNA transcript from Orcinus orca (killer whale), 3997 nucleotides. It is a transcript of the gene named solute carrier family 2 member 12, with no coding region annotated. The record is from RefSeq and is a predicted model, not a curated record. NCBI's taxonomy places the organism in Eukaryota, Metazoa, Chordata, Mammalia, Artiodactyla, Delphinidae. The transcript has 5 exons.